This 393-nucleotide ribosomal RNA is filed under the name uncultured bacterium. Its description in RNAcentral is "bacterial SSU rRNA". It matches the Rfam family "Bacterial small subunit ribosomal RNA", at positions 28 to 419 of the family's 1533-position model. The record is from RNAcentral.
GAUGAACGCUAGCGGCAGGCUUAAUACAUGCAAGUCGAGGGGCAGCGGGAGUAGCAAUACUUGCCGGCGACCGGCGCACGGGUGCGUAACACGUAUGUAAUCUGCCCAUCACAGGAGGAUAGCCCGGAGAAAUUCGGAUUAAUACUCCAUAAUAGAAGAUAAAGCAUUUUAUUUUCUUGAAAGUUCCGACGGUGAUGGAUGAACAUGCGACUGAUUAGUUUGUUGGUGAGGUAACGGCUCACCAAGACUACGAUCAGUAGGGGUACUGAGAGGUUAAACCCCCACACUGGUACUGAGACACGGACCAGACUCCUACGGGAGGCAGCAGUGGGGAAUUUUGGACAAUGGGCGCAAGCCUGAUCCAGCAAUGCCGCGUGCAGGACGAAGGCCUUC